CACCAACCCACAGAUGCAUGGUAUGACACAGCACCUGACAAGAAUAAGUACACCUAUUAUGACUAUGAGGGAGCAAGGCAAAGUACUUCUACAGAAAGGUGUGCCCUUACAGAUGGAGCAAUGGUGAGUGCAUACUCAACAAGGGAGGGAAAGGGGUUCUUAUUCCUGACGCAUGUGGUCCCUACUCCUGUGUGGUUCCCCUAUUGGCUAGGGUUAGACCACACAGGCUAAACUAAUUCUGAUUGACUAAGUUAAAGAGAGUGAUGGGGUGAGUGGUUUGGGGGGAAAAAUGAUGAUGAAAUGAGACAGGAUGGAGAAUGAAUCAGAAUGAGUCAGGGUGGAGAAUGAGUCAGGGUGGAGUAGGUAAUCAGAAUGAGUCAAGGUGGAGAAUGAGUCAGGUUGCUGUAGGUAAGCAGAAAAGGUUGCUUUACGAGGAAGUUACGUUUAAAAGUAGAAGGCAAAGAAUUGAACAUACAGACAUAUUAAUUCUUUGAAGAGAAAUUUAGAAUUCAUAUUUAACAAUCUCAGUUGAAUU
This 535-nucleotide long non-coding RNA is filed under the name Homo sapiens (human). RNAcentral describes it as "HSALNT0087254". Lineage: Eukaryota; Metazoa; Chordata; Mammalia; Primates; Hominidae. The record is from RNAcentral.